This 279-nucleotide ribosomal RNA is filed under the name uncultured bacterium. Its description in RNAcentral is "partial 16S ribosomal RNA". It matches the Rfam family "Bacterial small subunit ribosomal RNA", at positions 506 to 784 of the family's 1533-position model. The record is from RNAcentral.
UGCCAGCAGCCGCGGUAAGACAGGAGGAGCAAGUGUUAUUCAGAAUUACUGGGCGUAAAGCGUGCGCAGGCAGUUUUAUAAGUCAGAUGUGAAAUCCCCGAGCUCAACUUGGGAACUGCGUUUGAAACUGUAAGACUAGAGUGUGUCAGAGGGGGGUAGAAUUCCAAGUGUAGCAGUGAAAUGCGUAGAGAUUUGGAGGAAUACCAAUGGCGAAGGCAGCCCCCUGGGAUAACACUGACGCUCAUGCACGAAAGCGUGGGGAGCAAACAGGAUUAGAUA